CCAUCAAAUAGGACCUUAGGAACCAUAGUCACCACCUCGCCAUGAUCGUUCCUCAUUUUUUGCAUUUUUCGGCCAAAAAACUAGAAUUUCGCGCGAUUCCCAUAUUUUUGUGUGCUAUAGCCCACGCUUUCCGAGUGGUCCCGGGAGCCCCGGAACCCGAUAGCCUAAAAAGUUUCCGGGCCAUCAAGUAUGACCUAAGGAACCAUAGUCACCACCCCGCCAUGAUCGUUCCUUAUUUAUAGAGUUUUUCGGCCAAAAAACUAGAAUUUCGCCCGAUGACCAUAUUUGUUUGUGUUAUUGCCCACGCCUUCUGAGUGGGCCGGGCCCCCAGACUCGGAUCGCCUAAAAGAUUUUCGGGCCAUCAAAUAGGACCUUAGGAACCAUAGUCACCAUCUCGCCAUGGUCGUUCCUCAUGUUUUGCAUUUUUUGGCCAAAAAACUAGCAUUCCGCCUGAUUUCCAUAUUAUUUUGUGCUUUAGCCCACGCCUUCCAAGUGGUCUCGGGACCCCCGGACCCCGAUCGCCUAAAAACUUUUCGGGCCAUCAAAUACGACCUAAGGAACCAUAGUAACCACCCCUCCAUGACCGUUCCUCAUUUUUUGUAUUUUUCAGCCAAACAACUAGAAUUUCGGGCGAUUCCCAUAUUUUCGUGUGCUAGCCUACGCCUUCCGAGUGGACCGGGCCCCUAGACUCGGAACGUCUAAAAUUUUUCCGUGCCAUUAAAUACAACCUAAGGAACCAUAGUCACCGCCCCUCCAUGUCCUUUCCUAAAUUUUUGCAUUUUACGGUCAAAAACCUAGAAUUCUGCACGAUUCCCAUAUUUUCGUGUGCUAUAGCCUAUGCCUUCCAAGUGGACCCAGGACUCCCGGACCCCGAUUGCCUAAAAUUUUUCCUGCCAAUCAAAUACGAUCUAAGGAACCAUAGUCACCGCCCUUCCAUGAUUGUUCCACAUUUUUUGCAUGUUACGGCAAAAAACCUAGAAUUUCGCCCGAUUCUCAUAUUUUCAUGUGUUAUAGCCCACGCCUUCCGAGUGGUCCGGGGAGAGCCGGACCCCGAUCGCCUAAAUUUUUUCCGGUCUAUCAAUUACGACCUAAGG
RNAcentral lists this long non-coding RNA (1094 nucleotides) under Nicotiana tabacum (common tobacco). RNAcentral's name for it is "long non-coding RNA (NTAB_LNC007313)". Lineage: Eukaryota; Viridiplantae; Streptophyta; Magnoliopsida; Solanales; Solanaceae. The record is from RNAcentral.